This 71-nucleotide transfer RNA is filed under the name Marmota monax (woodchuck). RNAcentral describes it as "tRNA.Ala". Lineage: Eukaryota; Metazoa; Chordata; Mammalia; Rodentia; Sciuridae. The record is from RNAcentral.
GGGGCUGUGGCUCAGCGGUAAAGCAUUCACCUGGCAUGUGCAAGACCCUGGGUUCGAUCCUCAGUACCACA